Molecule: long non-coding RNA, 431 nt
Filed under: Olea europaea subsp. europaea
Lineage: Eukaryota; Viridiplantae; Streptophyta; Magnoliopsida; Lamiales; Oleaceae
Source: RNAcentral
CAUGGAUUAAGCAUGGAUGUGUAGCAUAGAAAUUUCAUGCAAAGUGAUCUUAACAUGCCUAUUUCCAUCUGGUCCACCUUAAUACUUUAGUGAGAUCAUUUUCAAAUAAGUUCAGAGAUAAUAAAUCAAAACUUUAUAACUGAAAAUUUCUUUAACCUUAAACCAUAUCCAAAAUGACAGUAUAUGUGUCUAGCACAAAAAUGCAAACUCCCACUGAAACUAAAUAUCCUUAAGCUACAUUACACCCAUAUGAGCAGUGUGCUCAUGAAAGAUCUUGGGUAUCAAUUCCUUAGUGAGCGGAUCCGCAAUUAUGGAGUUUGUCUGAUGUGCUUUUUUGACACCUAUUUACUCUGAACUCAUUCUUUAACAGCCAGAAACUUGAUCUCUAUAUGUUUUGAUUUUGUCGAGCUCCUGUUGUUAUUGGAAUACAG